UAGCAAGUGAAUGGUCACUUU
This 21-nucleotide small nuclear RNA is filed under the name Arabidopsis thaliana (thale cress). RNAcentral's name for it is "snRNA_16564". Lineage: Eukaryota; Viridiplantae; Streptophyta; Magnoliopsida; Brassicales; Brassicaceae. The record is from RNAcentral.